GUUAUGACUAGCAAUAUUAUCACGCUGUCUCCUUUUCAUUUCCUAAUAUAUGUGAUGAUGUAUUCUUAGGGAGCCAUUAGACCUGUUUCCCAGGCCAGUACCUCCCGGAGUAUUGGCUGCCAGACUGACCCCCUUCCAAAAAGAUCUGUUGGAACCCAACUAUCCAAGGACACUCUUAAGACUCACAUCAGAAGCAGAGCUUCUCAGACAAGUGUGGUCUGCGAGAAUGUGUGGUCUCCCCCACUUCUCACCUCAACACCCUUGAAGCCCCUUCCACCCAAAAAGAGGCCGCGACUGGAACUAGAGGAGGAUGACGAUGAAUGGGAGGCCUCCAUUGAGGCUACUGACCCUAAUGACUCCACUUUCAUUCGAAGUGUAUCAAUGACAACAGAGUCAUCGACUGUAUCACAAGCCUCACUACCAUAUGAUGUACCUAAAUAUAUUGUAUAUGAAAACUGCCUCCUCGAG
RNAcentral lists this long non-coding RNA (468 nucleotides) under Sander lucioperca (pikeperch). RNAcentral's name for it is "lncRNA (ENSSLUG00000010740.1)". Lineage: Eukaryota; Metazoa; Chordata; Actinopteri; Perciformes; Percidae. The record is from RNAcentral.